This 337-nucleotide ribosomal RNA is filed under the name uncultured bacterium. RNAcentral's name for it is "partial 16S ribosomal RNA". It matches the Rfam family "Bacterial small subunit ribosomal RNA", at positions 338 to 667 of the family's 1533-position model. The record is from RNAcentral.
CCUACGGGGGGCAGCAGUGGGGAAUAUUGCGCAAUGGGCGAAAGCCUGACGCAGCGACGCCGCGUGAGGGAUGAAGGUCUUCGGAUCGUAAACCUCUGUCAGCAGGGAAGAACGGUCACUGUGCUAAUCAGCAGUGAAUUGACGGUACCUGCAAAGGAAGCACCGGCUCACUCCGUGCCAGCAGCCGCGGUAAUACGGAGGGUGCGAGCGUUAAUCGGAACUACUGGGCGUAAAGCGCUCGUAGGCGGUAUGUCAAGUCAAGGGGGAAAUCCCCGCGCUCAACGUGGGAACUGCCUUUGAAUGUGGAAAACUUGAGGGUGUGAGAGGGUAGUGGAAU